Ipomoea nil (Japanese morning glory) is the source of this 810-nucleotide long non-coding RNA. RefSeq lists it as uncharacterized. The record is from RefSeq and is a predicted model, not a curated record. NCBI's taxonomy places the organism in Eukaryota, Viridiplantae, Streptophyta, Magnoliopsida, Solanales, Convolvulaceae. The transcript has 3 exons.
UCUGCAGUUCUCUCGUGUCUCUCUCUACAUGUCCCUAUCAUCUUCGUCUUCUUCAUUUUUGGAGCUUCUUUUUCUUCCCAAGCUCAGGGUUCAAGACUAGGUAAAAUAUCUUCUCCCAUUUUCUUUGGUUAGCUUAUUUCUAAGAUGAGAUUAUCUAAGCAAGAUGUGUUUGUUUGUGUUGGUUGUUGCUUGAGAAAUGGAGAUGGUAAAGAAGAAGACCUGGCUUGAGGGUGGAGAUGGAAGAAUUCUUGAGGUUGAAGCUUGAGAUAUACUGUGUGAUUUUGUGGGGUUUGAAUAUCUGAUCAGUGUUGUUAAGAGAAGGAAAGCAGAGAGUAGCAGAAGCCAGCCAAUAGACCUUAGUAAAGGAUCUACACGAGAUCAGUUAUCAAGGGUCGUUGUAGUACACUGGUUAAAGAACUAGUGUGCAUUUUGUUAUGGCUGGGAUCGAAUCCCAGGGCAGCGAAUCUCUUUUAAAUAUUAGCUAAGAUGGUUUUGACUUGGAAAAUUGGUUAAGUUUGGAGCCAGUUGUAGCUGUCCUUGCUCGAAAUGAUCGGCAUCAUAGCUCGUGCAGUAUUGCCCACAAGAUCUAAGCUAACCUCAAGGAUUGAAGUGAAUCUUCGUGCAACUAGAGACAAAUAUGAAGAAAAUGAAGUGAUUAGAGCUUAGAGACCACGGUUGAAGAUCCACAAUUGUGGAAGGAAGACAAGUGUAAAUGUUGAUGCAACAAGAAGAAGUCAAACCCACCCAGUAGAUGCUUUUGAGAUCAUUGAUGAAGAGAACUUCAUGUAACAACCCAAAAGUUUAUUUUAU